RNAcentral lists this ribosomal RNA (425 nucleotides) under uncultured bacterium. RNAcentral's name for it is "partial 16S ribosomal RNA". It matches the Rfam family "Bacterial small subunit ribosomal RNA", at positions 354 to 796 of the family's 1533-position model. The record is from RNAcentral.
GUGGGGAAUAUUGGACAAUGGGCGCAAGCCUGAUCCAGCCAUGCCGCGUGAGUGAUGAAGGCCCUAGGGUUGUAAAGCUCUUUCAGUGGGGACGAUAAUGACGGUACCCACAGAAGAAGCCCCGGCUAACUUCGUGCCAGCAGCCGCGGUAAUACGAAGGGGGCUAGCGUUGUUCGGAUUUAUUGGGCGUAAAGCGCACGUAGGCGGAUCGUUAAGUCGAGGGUGAAAUCCUGGAGCUCAACUCCAGAACUGCCUUCGAUACUGGCGAUCUUGAGUCCGGAAGAGGUGAGUGGAACUCCUAGUGUAGAGGUGGAAUUCGUAGAUAUUAGGAAGAACACCAGUGGCGAAGGCGGCUCACUGGUCCGGUACUGACGCUGAGGUGCGAAAGCGUGGGGAGCAAACAGGAUUAGAAACCCCAGUAGUCC